CAUUUCAGAAUUGUUUAACCUUUCACCGGUCAAAACAUUACCAGACUGUUUCCUUAAUUCAUCCUCAGGACAAACCUCUGUGACCAGCACUCCAGCCACCGGACCUUGAGCAACAUUAUGGCUGGCCCCACUUGAUGUACAGACCAGGCCAAGAGAAGUGUCUGAGGACACGGUCAUAAGUCUUCCGGAUGCCCAGGUGCCCUGCCACCGUGUAGUCAUGAGCCAGCGACAACACCUGCUGACGAAACAGUGUGGGCAACACAACCUGGUAUGCGCUCGACUGAAGGUGGAGGAGACUUGUCCUUUUUGUUGGGAGGCAGUGGGUCUGGAUCACACACAGCUUGAUAUAAGGAUGACACAUCAUAUACGUUCUUCCUUUUUCUUUCCUGCGCACGUGUCACAACACACGCAGGAAACACUGACCCGUCUGUCUCUGUUCCAGUGUAG
Molecule: long non-coding RNA, 447 nt
Organism: Gasterosteus aculeatus aculeatus (three-spined stickleback)
Lineage: Eukaryota; Metazoa; Chordata; Actinopteri; Perciformes; Gasterosteidae
Source: Ensembl